This 727-nucleotide ribosomal RNA is filed under the name uncultured euryarchaeote. RNAcentral's name for it is "bacterial SSU rRNA". It matches the Rfam family "Archaeal small subunit ribosomal RNA", at positions 96 to 824 of the family's 1478-position model. Lineage: Archaea; Methanobacteriati; Methanobacteriota. The record is from RNAcentral.
UACAGUAGUUAAUCUACCCUUAGGACUGAGAUAACCGCGGGAAACUGCGGGUAAUAUCGGAUAGAAGAUUUGGCCUGGAAGGGUAUUUCUUUUAAAGUUUCGACGCCUAAGGAUGAGACUGCGGACGAUUAGCUUGUUGGUGGGGCAACUGCCUACCAAGGCGACGAUCGUUACGGGCUCUUAGCGGAGUUGCCCGGAGAAGGAAUCUGAGACACUAUUCCUAGCUCUACGGAGUGCAGCAGUCGCGAAUCAUUUACAAUGCACGCAAGUGUGAUAAAGCGAACCAAAGUGCCUUUCAAUUUGAAAUGCUUUUCAUCACUGUAAAAAUGUGGUGGAAUAAGGACUGGGUAAGAUCGGUGCCAGCCGCCGCGGUAAUCCCGACAGUCCAAGUCGCAUCCGCUUUUAUUGGGUCUAAAACAUCCGUAGCUUGUUACUUAAGUCUCUUGUGAAAUCCUAUGUCUCAAGCAUAGGGCUUGCGGGAGAUACUGAGUAGCUGGAGAUCGGUAGACGUAAGGAGUACGCCGGAGGUAGUGGUUAAAUACGUUAAUCUUCGGUGGACUAACAAUCAGCGAAGGCACCUUACGAGGACGAAUCUGACAGUGAGGGAUGAAGGCCAGGGGCGCGAAACGGAUUAGAUACCCGUGUAGUCCUGGCAGUAAACACUGCUCACUAAACAUCGGGCCCUCUUCGGGAGGAUUCGGUGCUGAAGCGAAGGCGAAGAGUGAGC